AGUCCACAUCCAUGUGACACUAUUCAAACAUUUCUGGCUCCGGUUUGCCACAAUCACUCAAUUACGAUAUGUGAGUUUUGGGAAUGUGGCAAUGUAAAGUGUGUGGAACAGAAUUAUCCAGUAGGAGGAAGACGAAUGGUAACCCUGAAGAGGCACAUCCUCAUCUAAGAAAAGUAGAGAAAAAUGUCAAGUCCGGCCAUCCUGAGGAUUGUUUUUGGUGGGGAUGACGAUGCAAGAAAACUUGCACUUAAGACAGGAAUCCCAAAGUCUGUGGAUGACCUUGUCCUUGAAAUAAUGACUGUUUUUUGGGGUGAAGCAAAAGUUCAGGCUCCAGUACAAAGAUAAGGACUUUGGAAAUGAAUACAUGAAUCUCAUGUCAACCAGUCAAAUUGAAGACAGGGAUACCCUGAAACUGA
Long non-coding RNA from Rhinichthys klamathensis goyatoka, 416 nucleotides. RefSeq lists it as uncharacterized. The record is from RefSeq and is a predicted model, not a curated record. The transcript has 4 exons. Lineage: Eukaryota; Metazoa; Chordata; Actinopteri; Cypriniformes; Leuciscidae.